GGUGAUGUGCAGACUAUGGCUAGUGCUCUCAAGAUGACCAUCGCAUGGCCAUACAAUAAAAUUAAGGAAUGCAAGAAGAAGGCAUCUGGACCUCUCAAGAGCACUGUAGGAAGUGCUCCAAACUAGCCUUUGACUUGAGUUUCAAGAAUAUUAUUCUGCUGAUGGAUGAGCUCUACCUUUUGGCA
Long non-coding RNA from Sorghum bicolor (sorghum), 185 nucleotides. RefSeq lists it as uncharacterized. NCBI's taxonomy places the organism in Eukaryota, Viridiplantae, Streptophyta, Magnoliopsida, Poales, Poaceae. The transcript is spliced from 3 exons. The record is from RefSeq and is a predicted model, not a curated record.